GAUGAACGCUGGCGGCGUGCCUAAUACAUGCAAGUCGAGCGAACAGACGCGGCGCUUUCUCCUCUGACGUUAGCGGCGGACGGGUGAGUAACACGUGGAUACCCUACCUAUGAGACAGGGAUAACUUCGGGAAACCGGAGCUAAUACCGUAUAAUAUAUUGAACCGCAUGGUUUAAUAGUGAAAGACGGUUUUGCUGUCACUGAUAGAUGGAUCCGCGCCGGAUUAGCUAGUUGGUAAGGUAACGGCUUACCAAGGCGACGAUGCGUAGCCGGCCUGAGAGGGUGACCGGCCACACUGGAACUGAGACACGGUCCAGACUCCUACGGGAGGCAGCAGUGGGGAAUUUUCGGCAAUGGGCGAAAGCCUGACGCAGCAACGCCGCGUGCGUGAUGAAGGUCUUCGGAUUGUAAAACUCUGUUAUAAGGGAAGAACCGGUGUGGGAGUAUAUAUGCGCCUAUUGACGGUACCUAAACAGAAAGCCACGGCUAACUACGUG
Molecule: ribosomal RNA, 497 nt
Filed under: uncultured bacterium
Lineage: Bacteria
Description: partial 16S ribosomal RNA
Rfam family: Bacterial small subunit ribosomal RNA
Source: RNAcentral